This 253-nucleotide ribosomal RNA is filed under the name uncultured bacterium. Its description in RNAcentral is "partial 16S ribosomal RNA". It matches the Rfam family "Bacterial small subunit ribosomal RNA", at positions 524 to 776 of the family's 1533-position model. The record is from RNAcentral.
UACAGAGGUGGCGAGCGUUAUUCGCAACUAUUGGGCGUAAAGGGCGCGUAGGCGGCCACGCAAGUCCUGGGUGAAAUCCCUCGGCUCAACCGAGGAACUGCCUCGGAAACUGCAUGGCUCGAGGCCGGGAGAGGGUAGCGGAAUUCCCAGUGUAGCGGUGAAAUGCGUAGAUAUUGGGAGGAACACCGGUGGCGAAGGCGGCUACCUGGACCGGUUCUGACGCUGAUGCGCAAAAGCGUGGGGAGCAAACAGG